GAUGAACGCUAGCGGCAGGCCUAACACAUGCAAGUCGAGGGAGAAGCCCUUUCGGGGGCAGAAACCGGCGCACGGGUGCGUAACGCGUAUGCAACCUACCUUUCACAGGGGGAUAGCCCGAAGAAAUUUGGAUUAAUACCCCAUAAUAUUAUUGGAUGGCAUCAUUUGAUAAUUAAAACUGCGGUGGUGAAAGAUGGGCAUGCGUCCUAUUAGCUAGUUGGAGUGGUAACGGCACCCCAAGGCUACGAUAGGUAGGGGUCCUGAGAGGGAGAUCCCCCACAAUGGUACUGAGACAGGGACCAGACGCCUACGGGAGGCAGCAGUGAGGAAUAUUGGUAAAUGGUCGGAAGACUGAACCAGCCAUGCCGCGUGCAGGAAGAAUGCCUUAUGGGUUGUAAACUGCUUUUAUAUGGGAAGAAUAAGGUGUACGUGUACAUUGAUGACGGUACCAUAUGAAUAAGCAUCGGCUAACUCCGUG
This 478-nucleotide ribosomal RNA is filed under the name uncultured bacterium. RNAcentral describes it as "partial 16S ribosomal RNA". It matches the Rfam family "Bacterial small subunit ribosomal RNA", at positions 28 to 507 of the family's 1533-position model. The record is from RNAcentral.